RNAcentral lists this ribosomal RNA (468 nucleotides) under uncultured bacterium. Its description in RNAcentral is "partial 16S ribosomal RNA". It matches the Rfam family "Bacterial small subunit ribosomal RNA", at positions 28 to 507 of the family's 1533-position model. The record is from RNAcentral.
GACGAACGCUGGCGGCGUGCUUAACACAUGCAAGUCGAACGGAAAGGCCCUGCUUUUGUGGGGUGCUCGAGUGGCGAACGGGUGAGUAACAAGUGAGUAACCUGCCCUUGACUUUGGGAUAACUUCAGGAAACUGGGGCUAAUAACGGAUAGGAGCUCCUGCUGCAUGGUGGGGGUUGGAAAGUUUCGGCGGUUGGGGCUGGACUCGCGGCUUAUCAGCUUGUUGGUGGGGUAGUGGCUUACCAAGGCUUUGACGGGUAGCCGGCCUGAGAGGGUGACCGGCCACAUUGGGACUGGGAUACGGCCCAGACUCCUACGGGAGGCAGCAGUGGGGAAUAUUGCACAAUGGGCGGAAGCCGGAUGCAGCAACGCCGCGUGCGGGAUGACGGCCUUCGGGUUGUAAACCGCUUUCGCCUGUGACGAAGCGUGAGUGACGGUAAUGGGUAAAGAAGCACCGGCUAACUACGUG